Molecule: ribosomal RNA, 499 nt
Filed under: uncultured bacterium
Lineage: Bacteria
Description: partial 16S ribosomal RNA
Rfam family: Bacterial small subunit ribosomal RNA
Source: RNAcentral
ACUCAAAGGAAUUGACGGGGACCCGCACAAGCGGUGGAGUAUGUGGCUUAAUUCGAUGCAACGCGAAGAACCUUACCAAGGCUUGACAUGCAUCUCUAAGCGCGUGAAAGCGCGUGACCCGCAAGGGGAUUUGCACAGGUGCUGCAUGGCCGUCGUCAGCUCGUGUCGUGAGAUGUUGGGUUAAGUCCCGCAACGAGCGCAACCCCUGUGACUAGUUGCCAGCAUGUGAUGAUGGGGACUCUAGUCAGACUGCCCAGAUCAACUGGGAGGAAGGUGGGGACGACGUCAGGUCAGUAUGGCCCUUACGCCUUGGGCUGCACACGUACUACAAUGCCCGGUACAAUGAGAGCCGAUGCCGCGAGGCGGAGGAAAUCUAUGAAAACCGGGCCCAGUUCGGAUUGGAGGCUGCAACUCGCCUCCAUGAAGUUGGAAUCGCUAGUAAUGGCGCAUCAUCUACGGCGCCGUGAAUACGUUCCCGGGUCUUGUACACACCGCCCGU